UACGAAGGGGGCUAGCGUUGCUCGGAAUUACUGGGCGUAAAGCGCACGUAGGCGGCUUGCUAAGUCAGGGGUGAAAUCCUGGAGCUCAACUCCAGAACUGCCUUUGAUACUGGCGACCUUGAGUCCGGGAGAGGUGAGUGGAACUGCGAGUGUAGAGGUGAAAUUCGUAGAUAUUGGGAAGAACACCGGUGUCGAAGGCGGCGACCUGGUCCGAUACUGACGCUGAGGCGCGAAAGCGUGGGGAGCAAACAGG
Molecule: ribosomal RNA, 253 nt
Filed under: uncultured bacterium
Lineage: Bacteria
Description: partial 16S ribosomal RNA
Rfam family: Bacterial small subunit ribosomal RNA
Source: RNAcentral